RNAcentral lists this long non-coding RNA (276 nucleotides) under Malus domestica (apple). RNAcentral describes it as "long non-coding RNA (MDOM_LNC011522)". The record is from RNAcentral. Lineage: Eukaryota; Viridiplantae; Streptophyta; Magnoliopsida; Rosales; Rosaceae.
GGCCCAAUCUUCUCAAACUUAUGGGUGCAGCUCUUCUUUUGCUUGAGCCACAUAAAGCUGGUUUCUCUCACGAUCCUGCACUCUUCGAUGUCUUUGAGGGGCAGAAGGCCAUUGGGGAGGCAGAUUUCUGAGAGAAGCUCCUUUGAUUUCUGUUGGUAGAUUUCAUCUUCAUGGUAGAGCUCGUCUGCCUUGGACUUGAUCUUUGCUGUGAUGAAAGAAGACAUUUUGGUUUUUUUUAUCCGCUUCUUUUCAAUUUCUGGAGGUUUUUUUUUUUUU